This 611-nucleotide long non-coding RNA is filed under the name Ursus maritimus (polar bear). RNAcentral's name for it is "lncRNA (ENSUMAG00000025200.1)". The record is from RNAcentral. Lineage: Eukaryota; Metazoa; Chordata; Mammalia; Carnivora; Ursidae.
AUACUGUGCAUUGGUCCAUAUUGUCAUUAAUGAAGCAGUGAUUACAGUAAGAUAGUCACAGCGGAACGCACAGGGCACACGAUCCAAGGGGCACCAUCGGGGGCCACUCCCCAAAGGUCGUCUAGAGGUGCUGAAGUUCCCCGAGAUAAAGCAGGAAAACAGAAACGGAAAGGUCCAGGGGCAGAAGAUUCUGGGAACAAUCAGGACUAACAUUUCCAGGGUCCUCAACUUUGUCAACAACUCGUCAGGCAUCUAUGACUUGAUGCUACUUUCCAGUCAUUUCUUAGAACCACAGAGUUCCAGUGGCUCUAGGAUAUCCUGGCUGGACCAGACCUUCACAGCCUUCUUCCUCGGUCAAAUCUCGGACACCAUUUACCCAGAGCAGUCCAGUCCUGAAGGGAUUAUGGUGAGAUCACGAUCAUGGAUCCUGGGGCUGGAAGAAAUCUUACUGUUCAUCUAGAUUCUAGUCCCUUAUUUGAAGGCGAGGAGACAGGCAGAAGCACAAUGGUUGGCUUUUGUUAAACACCGAAAAGAUUCUACUCCUCUGGAAGUUUGUGGUUCCUCAAAAUUUCAGGGAGGAGCCUCCCACAGUGGCAGACCGUGCAGCACCC